GUGCCAGCAGCCGCGGUAAUACGUAGGGUGCAAGCGUUAAUCGGAAUUACUGGGCGUAAAGCGUGCGCAGGCGGUUAUGCAAGACAGAGGUGAAAUCCCCGGGCUCAACCUGGGAACUGCCUUUGUGACUGCAUGGCUAGAGUACGGUAGAGGGGGAUGGAAUUCCGCGUGUAGCAGUGAAAUGCGUAGAUAUGCGGAGGACACCGAUGGCGAAGGCAAUCCCCUGGACCUGUACUGACGCUCAUACACGAAAGCGUGGGGAGCAAACAGGAUUAG
RNAcentral lists this ribosomal RNA (276 nucleotides) under uncultured Burkholderiales bacterium. RNAcentral's name for it is "partial 16S ribosomal RNA". It matches the Rfam family "Bacterial small subunit ribosomal RNA", at positions 505 to 781 of the family's 1533-position model. Lineage: Bacteria; Pseudomonadati; Pseudomonadota; Betaproteobacteria; Burkholderiales. The record is from RNAcentral.